RNAcentral lists this ribosomal RNA (440 nucleotides) under uncultured bacterium. RNAcentral's name for it is "partial 16S ribosomal RNA". It matches the Rfam family "Bacterial small subunit ribosomal RNA", at positions 338 to 795 of the family's 1533-position model. The record is from RNAcentral.
CCUACGGGGUGCAGCAGUGGGGCAUAUUGCACAAUGGGGGAAACCCUGAUGCAGCGACGUCGCGUGAGUGAUGAAGUAUUUCGGUAUGUAAAGCUCUAUCAGCAGGGAAGAAAAUGACGGUACCUGACUAAGAAGCCCCGGCUAACUACGUGCCAGCAGCCGCGGUAAUACGUAGGGGGCAAGCGUUAUCCGGAUUUACUGGGUGUAAAGGGAGCGUAGACGGCGGUGCAAGCCAGAUGUGAAAGCCCGGGGCGCAACCCCGGGACGGCAUUUGGAACUGUGCUGCUAGAGUGUCGGAGAGGCAGGCGGAAUUCCUAGGGUAGCGGUGAAAUGCGUAGAUAUUAGGAGGAACACCAGUGGCGAAGGCGGCCUGCUGGACGAUGACUGACGUUGAGGCUCGAAAGCGUGGGGAGCAAACAGGAUUAGAUACCCCUGUAGUC